UUGGAAGACUGUACUAGCUUGCCAGAGGGAAUUCAGAGGAAACUAGAAUACUUUCCCAAAGAGAAGGAAAUGACGUUCAGAAGGAAGUUAUAAAAGAACAGAGGAGCACAGUCUGGAUUUCUGUCUUUCAACAUGAGAAAAUAAAAACUGAUAGAUUGUAUGCUGAAGUCCAUGCUUCUGUCACUCUCCAGUUUGUGGGUGAGAAAUGAAAGGGGCUAACUUUUCUUGCUGAUGAGCUACAUGCAUUUUGUAUGUUUAUAUGCAAAGCCCUACAGUCAUCCGGGAUGAAAAUGAAGGUGUCAUCUAUGAAGACAGGGUUUUCAUCUGUCUGACCCAAACAGUGGCAAUGUGGAUUACUCAUCAGGGAAAGCUGAUUCCAAGGAAAUAUGUGGAUCAUAAAGCAGGCACCAAUUUGUCACUGCAUAGUAAACCUUUGAAGAAAACACGUGUCUGGGAAGUACCAGGACGUAGUUUUGGAGGAGUACAAGCUCAAUGA
Molecule: long non-coding RNA, 496 nt
Filed under: Parus major (Great Tit)
Lineage: Eukaryota; Metazoa; Chordata; Aves; Passeriformes; Paridae
Description: lncRNA (ENSPMJG00000015471.1)
Source: RNAcentral